UAAGAUAGAGGCGCGGAAAGCAAUAGUAGCCUGUGGAGCGGGAGUGAAGAAGCAGGGGAAAGGGCCUACGCCGAAGUGCAAUAGCAGCCAUGUUGUUGUGCUGGGCUUACAGCGAAUAGCUGUCGGACUGUCGCUGCUUAUGCAGCGGAGGGCUAUCU
Molecule: non-coding RNA, 158 nt
Filed under: uncultured Phascolarctobacterium sp.
Lineage: Bacteria; Bacillati; Bacillota; Negativicutes; Acidaminococcales; Acidaminococcaceae
Description: Lysine riboswitch
Rfam family: Lysine riboswitch aptamer
About the family: Riboswitches are metabolite binding domains within certain messenger RNAs that serve as precision sensors for their corresponding targets.
Source: RNAcentral